Molecule: non-coding RNA, 91 nt
Filed under: Bacteroidota bacterium
Lineage: Bacteria; Pseudomonadati; Bacteroidota
Description: Bacteroidetes bacterium TPP sequence
Rfam family: TPP riboswitch aptamer (THI element)
About the family: Vitamin B(1) in its active form thiamin pyrophosphate (TPP) is an essential coenzyme that is synthesised by coupling of pyrimidine and thiazole moieties in bacteria. The previously detected thiamin-regulatory element, thi box was extended, resulting in a new, highly conserved RNA secondary structure, the THI element, which is widely distributed in eubacteria and also occurs in some archaea.
Source: RNAcentral
UUACAUGCUUGGGGGUGCCCUUUGGGCUGAGAUUAUACCCUUUUCACCUGAUCAGGAUAAUGCCUGCGAAGGGAAAGCCUUUCUCACAACA